AGAAUCAGAGGUUCCUGCAACUUAUUCUUUUUUGUUUUUCAAAUGCCCCUUGGCAAUCAUUAUCCUACCUGACCGUUUGAUCUCUUUUUUUUUUGUUUUCGGUUCAGGCACUUCUUGCAUUGUUUUUUCUUUUCUUUCUUUUUUUCUUUCUUUUUUCCUUCUUUUUUCCUUUCUUUUUUCUUUCUUUUUUUUUUCUUUUUUUAUUUGCAGGAUCAACCUCGAUUCCUCUUUUAUUCACAAUACGCCUCAGCACUUUGCCGGACAGCACUCCAUAAGCG
This 278-nucleotide long non-coding RNA is filed under the name Lathyrus oleraceus (garden pea). Its description in RNAcentral is "Pisum sativum (pea) long non-coding RNA (PSAT_LNC020972)". Lineage: Eukaryota; Viridiplantae; Streptophyta; Magnoliopsida; Fabales; Fabaceae. The record is from RNAcentral.